UCUCUGUUAGUAUAUCGGUUAGUACACGCGCCUGUCACUGCUUCCAGUGCGCGCGAAAGCGGGGUUCGACUCCCCGACAGAGAG
Molecule: non-coding RNA, 84 nt
Organism: Epithele typhae
Lineage: Eukaryota; Fungi; Basidiomycota; Agaricomycetes; Polyporales; Epitheliaceae
Source: the annotation of a RefSeq genome assembly